This 440-nucleotide ribosomal RNA is filed under the name uncultured bacterium. RNAcentral's name for it is "partial 16S ribosomal RNA". It matches the Rfam family "Bacterial small subunit ribosomal RNA", at positions 338 to 795 of the family's 1533-position model. The record is from RNAcentral.
CCUACGGGUGGCAGCAGUGGGGGAUAUUGCACAAUGGGGGAAACCCUGAUGCAGCGACGCCGCGUGGGUGAAGAAGCGCCUCGGCGCGUAAAGCCCUGUCAGCAGGGAAGAAAAUGACGGUACCUGACGAAGAAGCCACGGCUAACUACGUGCCAGCAGCCGCGGGCAUACGUAGGGGGCAAGCGUUAUCCGGAUUUACUGGGGGUAAAGGGGGCGCAGACGGCGCUGCAAGCCAGGAGUGAAAGCGCGGGGGCCAACCCCGGGACUGCUGUUGGAACUGCGUGGCUAGAGUGCAGGAGGGGCAGGCGGAAUGCGUGGUGUAGCGGUGAAAUGCGUAGAUAUCAGGAGGAACACCGGUUGCGAAGGCAGCCUGCUGGACUGCAACUGACGUUGAGGCCCGAAAGCGUGGGGAGCAAACAGGAUUAGAUACCCUAGUAGUC